UUGUUGUGGACCAAGUUACGGGACACCUUUCCAAUCAUGUUGGUAAUGCGUUUUAUAAGCAUCGUUCUUAUUUGCUGUAUGAAAAAUGGUCACGCUUAACUCCUACACAUUUUACCUUUUGGCAGAAAUUUAUUCAUACAUGUCAAAUUUAUGGUCAUUCACGAUUAUAAAUGUUCAUAUACGUGUUGCUUUCAUUCAUUUGUGCGAGAUAUUAUUCUUUCAUGCUACAUUGUCUUCAUGUAUUACAACCGAUGCAUACUGAUGUAACUUGUACUUUUAAGUGAUUGGAACUUCCGAUUUGAUCAUUUGAUUUCUGUUUAUCGUGAUAGAUAUAAGUGCAAUGGAAUUAAUUAC
RNAcentral lists this long non-coding RNA (354 nucleotides) under Mytilus galloprovincialis (Mediterranean mussel). Lineage: Eukaryota; Metazoa; Mollusca; Bivalvia; Mytilida; Mytilidae. The record is from RNAcentral.